Molecule: ribosomal RNA, 253 nt
Filed under: uncultured bacterium
Lineage: Bacteria
Description: partial 16S ribosomal RNA
Rfam family: Bacterial small subunit ribosomal RNA
Source: RNAcentral
UACAGAGGGUGCAAGCGUUAAUCGGAAUUACUGGGCUUAAAGGGCACGUAGGCGGCUUGGUAAGUCAGGGGUGAAAGCCCAGGGCUUAACGUUGGAACUGCCUUUGAUACUGCCAAGCUCGAAAGUGGUUGAGGUAAGCGGAAUUUCGAGUGUAGCGGUGAAAUGCAUAGAUAUGCGAUAGAACACCAAUUGCGAAGGCGGCUGGCUGGGCCUACUUUGACGCUGAGGCGCGAAAGCGUGGGGAGCAAACAGG